UACGGAGGGUGCAAGCAUUAAUCGGAUUUAUUGGGCGUAAAGGGCGCGUAGGCGGAGAGGUAGGUCAGAUGUGAAAUCCCGGAGCUCAACUUCGGAACUGCAUUUGAAACUACCUCCCUAGAGGGUAGGCGGGGAAAACGGAAUUCCACAUGUAGCGGUGAAAUGCGUAGAUAUGUGGAGGAACACCGGUGGCGAAGGCGGUUUUCUAGCUUAUUCCUGACGCUAAUGCGCGAAAGCAAGGGGAGCAAACAGGAUUAGAAACCC
Molecule: ribosomal RNA, 264 nt
Filed under: uncultured bacterium
Lineage: Bacteria
Description: partial 16S ribosomal RNA
Rfam family: Bacterial small subunit ribosomal RNA
Source: RNAcentral